This is a non-coding RNA of Mycena filopes, 88 nucleotides long. The record is from the annotation of a GenBank genome assembly. NCBI's taxonomy places the organism in Eukaryota, Fungi, Basidiomycota, Agaricomycetes, Agaricales, Mycenaceae.
GACCCAGUUGCGGAGGGUCCCCGCCCGUGACUAAUAAUCCAAGAUGCUGAUAAAUGUGGGGUCGCUCGUUCAAUUCGAGCCUGGGUCA